This 252-nucleotide ribosomal RNA is filed under the name uncultured bacterium. Its description in RNAcentral is "partial 16S ribosomal RNA". It matches the Rfam family "Bacterial small subunit ribosomal RNA", at positions 524 to 776 of the family's 1533-position model. The record is from RNAcentral.
UACGGAGGGUGCGAGCGUUAAUCGGAAUAACUGGGCGUAAAGGGUACGUAGGCGGAUAAGCAAGUUAGAAGUGAAAUCCUAUAGCUCAACUAUAGUAAGCUUUUAAAACUGCUCAUCUUGAGGUAUGGAAGGGAAAGUGGAAUUCUCAGUGUAGCGGUGAAAUGCGUAGAUAUUGAGAAGAACACCAGUAGCGAAGGCGGCUUUCUGGACUGUAACUGACACUGAGGCACGAAAGCGUGGGUAGCAAACAGG